Molecule: ribosomal RNA, 1286 nt
Filed under: uncultured bacterium
Lineage: Bacteria
Description: bacterial SSU rRNA
Rfam family: Bacterial small subunit ribosomal RNA
Source: RNAcentral
ACGGGGAUUACACGGCGAUGCGAUUUCGGUCAAAUCAAGUGCAAUCUUAGUGGCGGACGGGUGAGUAACGCGUGGGUAACCUGCCUUGCACUGGAGGGAUAACACUUAGAAAUAGGUGCUAAUACCGCAUAAGCGCACGGUCCUGCAUGGGACAGUGUGAAAAACUCCGGUGGUGCAAGAUGGACCCGCGUCUGAUUAGCUGGUUGGCGGGGUAAAGGCCCACCAAGGCGACGAUCAGUAGCCGGCCUGAGAGGGUGGACGGCCACAUUGGGACUGAGACACGGCCCAAACUCCUACGGGAGGCAGCAGUGGGGGAUAUUGGACAAUGGGGGGAACCCUGAUCCAGCGACGCCGCGUGAGUGAAGAAGUAUUUCGGUAUGUAAAGCUCUGUCAGCAGGGAAGAAAGCAAUGACGGUACCUGACCAAGAAGCCCCGGCUAACUACGUGCCAGCAGCCGCGGUAAUACGUAGGGGGCAAGCGUUAUCCGGAAUUACUGGGUGUAAAGGGAGCGUAGACGGCUGUGCAAGUCUGGAGUGAAAGGCGGGGGCCCAACCCCCGGACUGCUCUGGAAACUGUAUGGCUGGAGUGCAGGAGAGGUAAGGCGGAAUUCCCUAUUGUAGCGUGAAAAUGCGUAGAUAUUAGGAGGAACACCAGUGGCGAAGGCGGCUUACUGGACUGUAACUGACGUUGAGGCUCGAAAGCGUGGGGAGCAAACAGGAUUAGAUACCCUGGUAGUCCACGCCGUAAACGAUGAUUACUAGGUGUCGGAGGGUAUGGACCCUCCGGUGCCGCAGCAAACGCAGUAAGUAAUCCACCUGGGGAGUACGUUCGCAAGAAUGAAACUCAAAGGAAUUGACGGGGACCCGCACAAGCGGUGGAGCAUGUGGUUUAAUCCGAAGCAACGCGAAGAACCUUACCAAGUCUUGACAUCUGGAUGACAGGGACGUAACGGUCCCCUUACUUCGGUACAUCCAAGACAGGUGGUGCAUGGUUGUCGUCAGCUCGUGUCGUGAGAUGUUGGGUUAAGUCCCGCAACGAGCGCAACCCUUAUCCUUAGUAGCCAGCGGGCAGGGCCGGGCACUCUAGGGAGACUGCCGGGGAUAACCCGGAGGAAGGUGGGGAUGACGUCAAAUCAUCAUGCCCCUUAUGAUUUGGGCUACACACGUGCUACAAUGGCGUAAACAGAGGGAAGCGAACCCGCGAGGGGGAGCAAAUCCCAAAAAUAACGUCCCAGUUCGGAUUGUAGCCUGCAACCCGGCUACAUGAAGCUGGAAUCGCUAGUAAUC